AUGAUUGUCAAUCCAGAUUUUGACAGCAAGAAAAUAAAGUUAAAGUUAAAAAUUAUCAAAACGGAUGUUUUCUAGUUAACGGUAAUAGGAAUAUUUGCUGACUGAGGUGCUGGCUCCAAAAUAUCAUGGUCCAGCCGUUGGCAUUCAAGGCAACCUCUUCCCAACUCGAAAAUUCCAACCAGCAACUAACUAAAAAAAACCCACGGAUGGUCUCAAGAUGCACCUUCUGCUACUAAAUUCGAACGGACCUUUGCAACCGGAAGAUGUCUCAUCAUGUGCAACACGACUUGUGUCCAUCUAAUCGGAAGAAGCCACUCUGGAUGAUUGUGUUGUGUUUACAUUGUUUAAUUUCAACAGCACAUGUUUGGCUGUGCUUAAAAUAAACUUGUUUAUAUUGUGAUAUUAAAA
Molecule: long non-coding RNA, 408 nt
Organism: Aedes aegypti (yellow fever mosquito)
Lineage: Eukaryota; Metazoa; Arthropoda; Insecta; Diptera; Culicidae
Exons: 2
Source: RefSeq, a predicted model, not a curated record